GAUGAAGAACGCAGCGAAAUGCGAUAAGUAAUGCGAAUUGCAGAAUUUCCGUGAGUCAUCGAAUCUUUGAACGCACAUUGCGCCCGCUGGUAUUCCGGCGGGCAUGCCUGUUCGAGCGUCAUUUCAACCCUCAAACCCCCGGGUUUGGUGUUGGGGAUCGGCUCUGCCUCACGGCGGUGCCGCCCCCGAAAUACAUUGGCGGUCUCGCUGCAGCCUCCAUUGCGUAGUAGCUAACACCUCGCAACUGGAACGCGGCGCGGCCAUGCCGUAAAACCCCAACUUCUGAAUGUUGACCUCGGAUCAGGUAGGAAUACCCGCUGAACUUAAGCAUAUCAAUAAGCGGAGGA
Molecule: unclassified non-coding RNA, 347 nt
Filed under: soil metagenome
Description: partial contains 5.8S ribosomal RNA, internal transcribed spacer 2, and large subunit ribosomal RNA
Rfam family: 5.8S ribosomal RNA (bases 1-121)
Source: RNAcentral